This 440-nucleotide ribosomal RNA is filed under the name uncultured bacterium. RNAcentral describes it as "partial 16S ribosomal RNA". It matches the Rfam family "Bacterial small subunit ribosomal RNA", at positions 338 to 795 of the family's 1533-position model. The record is from RNAcentral.
CCUACGGGUGGCAGCAGUGGGGAAUAUUGGACAAUGGGGGAAACCCUGAUCCAGCGACGCCGCGUGAGUGAAGAAGUAUUUCGGUAUGUAAAGCUCUAUCAGCAGGAAAGAAAAUGACGGUACCUGACUAAGAAGCACCGGCUAACUACGUGCCAGCAGCCGCGGUAAUACGUAGGGGGCAAGCGUUAUCCGGAUUUACUGGGUGUAAAGGGAGCGUAGACGGCAGCGCAAGUCUGGAGGGAAAUGCCGGGGCCCAACCCCGGAACUGCUCUGGAAACUGUGAAGCUGGAGUGCAGGAGAGGUAAGCGGAAUUCCUGGUGUAGCGGUGAAAUGCGUAGAUAUCAGGAGGAACACCGGCGGCGAAGGCGGCUUACUGGACUGUAACUGACGUUGAGGCUCGAAGGCGUGGGGAGCAAACAGGAUUAGAUACCCCUGUAGUC